CCCAGACUCCUACGGGAGGCAGCAGUGGGGAAUAUUGGGCAAUGGGCGCAAGCCUGACCCAGCAACGCCGCGUGAAGGAAGAAGGCUUUCGGGUUGUAAACUUCUUUUAUGAGGGACGAAAGAAAUGACGGUACCUCAUGAAUAAGCCACGGCUAACUACGUGCCAGCAGCCGCGGUAAUACGUAGGUGGCAAGCGUUAUCCGGAUUUAUUGGGUGUAAAGGGAGCGUAGACGGCAGGGCAAGCCAGAAGUGAAAACGCAGAGCUUAACUUUGCGACUGCUUUUGGAACUGCCCAGCUAGAGUACAGGAGAGGUAAGUGGAAUUCCUAGUGUAGCGGUGAAAUGCGUAGAUAUUAGGAGGAACACCAGUGGCGAAGGCGGCCUACUGGACGGUGACUGACGCUGAGGCUCGAAAGCGUGGGGAGCAAACAGGAUUAGAUACCCCUGUA
This 448-nucleotide ribosomal RNA is filed under the name uncultured bacterium. RNAcentral describes it as "bacterial SSU rRNA". It matches the Rfam family "Bacterial small subunit ribosomal RNA", at positions 330 to 792 of the family's 1533-position model. The record is from RNAcentral.